GGAAUUAGUAAGGAUAUAGUACUCACCACACUUAUGUGCGACGAAGUUGAUCAGCCCAACAUUUGCAACAAAUUGCAUAAAUUCUUCGUAAAAACCGAUUUCACUCAUGAAGGGUGUACGUGGCCAUUCACAAGAUCUAACCUCAAUGUUGCGAGAUCUUGAUAUCACUAUCUUGAGUCCUUCGUGCAACUCCAUUGGAACUCCGGCUCGAAGAACCUGCAUGUACGACCAUGGAUAUUUUCAGAGAAAUUAAAAUCGAAAAUAACAUGCUAGAGCGGAUGAAAUUGGAGCUCACAUCCUUGAGUCACAUCUUCACUUACUACCGAGCAUGUGCGCAUCUUCCCACCACCCGCUCACCAGUCUGUGGCAUCCCUUCUCGUCGUGACUCGCCCGCUAGUGUUGCCCGAGUCAAGGAAGUCGAGCGUGUUGUCGUGAUCAAGACACCGGUGUAGAUCGAUCGCAUGACCGCCUCAUUUGGCUACAGGUCCAUGGUGGUUUGGCACAUUACCUAGCCAUAGACUGGUUGAUAGUCACCGCCAAUCUUCCCAUUGUUGAUCGCCGACACAUCGGCAAC
Molecule: long non-coding RNA, 574 nt
Filed under: Hordeum vulgare
Lineage: Eukaryota; Viridiplantae; Streptophyta; Magnoliopsida; Poales; Poaceae
Description: long non-coding RNA (HVUL_LNC005337)
Source: RNAcentral